GCCGGGGUAGCCUAGCCCGGGCAAGGCGGUGGCUUCGAGAGCCACUGGGCGUUACAGCCCACAGGAGUUCGAAUCUCCUCCCCGGCG
RNAcentral lists this transfer RNA (87 nucleotides) under Thermoplasmatales archaeon SW_10_69_26. Its description in RNAcentral is "tRNA-Ser". It matches the Rfam family "tRNA". From Rfam's summary of the family: Transfer RNA (tRNA) molecules are approximately 80 nucleotides in length. Their secondary structure includes four short double-helical elements and three loops (D, anti-codon, and T loops). Lineage: Archaea; Methanobacteriati; Thermoplasmatota; Thermoplasmata; Thermoplasmatales. The record is from RNAcentral.